Molecule: ribosomal RNA, 250 nt
Filed under: uncultured bacterium
Lineage: Bacteria
Description: partial 16S ribosomal RNA
Rfam family: Bacterial small subunit ribosomal RNA
Source: RNAcentral
AGCGAACGCUGGCGGCAGGCCUAACACAUGCAAGUCGAGCGCCCGUAGCGAUACGGGAGCGGCAGACGGGAGAGUAACACGUGGGAACGUACCCUUUGGUUCGGAACAACACAGGGAAACUUGUGCGUAAUACCGGAUAAGCCCGUUACGGGGAAAGAUUUAUCGCCAAAGGAUCGGCCCGCGUCUGAUUAGCUAGUUGGUGGGUAACGGCUCACCAAGGCGACGAUCAGUAGCUGGUCUGAGAGGAUGA